This 736-nucleotide ribosomal RNA is filed under the name uncultured bacterium. Its description in RNAcentral is "bacterial SSU rRNA". It matches the Rfam family "Bacterial small subunit ribosomal RNA", at positions 771 to 1501 of the family's 1533-position model. The record is from RNAcentral.
AACAGGAUUAGAUACCCUGGUAGUCCAUGCCGUAAACGUUGGGCACUAGGUGUGGGGGACAUUCCACGUUUUCCGCGCCGUAGCUAACGCAUUAAGUGCCCCGCCUGGGGAGUACGGCCGCAAGGCUAAAACUCAAAGGAAUUGACGGGGGCCCGCACAAGCGGCGGAGCAUGCGGAUUAAUUCGAUGCAACGCGAAGAACCUUACCAAGGCUUGACAUAUACUGGAUCGCCUCAGAGAUGGGGUUUCCCUUCGGGGCUGGUAUACAGGUGGUGCAUGGUUGUCGUCAGCUCGUGUCGUGAGAUGUUGGGUUAAGUCCCGCAACGAGCGCAACCCUCGUUCUAUGUUGCCAGCACGUUAUGGUGGGGACUCAUAGGAGACUGCCGGGGUCAACUCGGAGGAAGGUGGGGAUGACGUCAAAUCAUCAUGCCCCUUAUGUCUUGGGCUUCACGCAUGCUACAAUGGCCGGUACAAAGGGUUGCGAUACUGUGAGGUUGAGCUAAUCCCAAAAAGCCGGUCUCAGUUCGGAUUGGGGUCUGCAACUCGACCCCAUGAAGUCGGAGUCGCUAGUAAUCGCAGAUCAGCAACGCUGCGGUGAAUACGUUCCCGGGCCUUGUACACACCGCCCGUCAAGUCACGAAAGUUGGUAACACCCGAAGCCGAUGGCCUAACCCCUUGUGGGAGGGAGUCGUCGAAGGUGGGAUUGGCGAUUGGGACUAAGUCGUAACAAGGUAACC